GACGAACGCUGGCGGCGUGCCUAAUACAUGCAAGUAGAACGCUGAAGGAGGAGCUUGCUUCUCUGGAUGAGUUGCGAACGGGUGAGUAACGCGUAGGUAACCUGCCUGGUAGCGGGGGAUAACUAUUGGAAACGAUAGCUAAUACCGCAUAACAGUAGAUAUCGCAUGAUAUCUACUUGAAAGGUGCAAUUGCAUCACUACCAGAUGGACCUGCGUUGUAUUAGCUAGUUGGUGAGGUAACGGCUCACCAAGGCGACGAUACAUAGCCGACCUGAGAGGGUGAGCGGCCACACUGGGACUGAGACACGGCCCAGACUCCUACGGGAGGCAGCAGUAGGGAAUCUUCGGCAAUGGGCGGAAGUCUGACCGAGCAACGCCGCGUGAGUGAAGAAGGUUGUCGGAUCGUAAAGCUCUGUUGUAAGAGAAGAACGAGUGUGAGAGUGGAAAGUUCACACUGUGACGGUAUCUUACCAGAAAGGGACGGCUAACUACGUG
Molecule: ribosomal RNA, 495 nt
Filed under: uncultured bacterium
Lineage: Bacteria
Description: partial 16S ribosomal RNA
Rfam family: Bacterial small subunit ribosomal RNA
Source: RNAcentral